GACGAACGCUGGCGGCGUGCUUAACACAUGCAAGUCGAACGGAAAGGCACUGCUUUUGUGCGGUGCUCGAUUGGCAGACGCGUGAGUAACACGUGAGUAACCUGCCCUUGACUUUGGGAUAACUUCAGGAAAGUAGGGCUAAUACCGGAUAGCAGCUGCUGCUGCAUGGAAAGGGUUGGAACGUUUCGGCGGGUGGGGAUGGACUCGCGGCUUAUCAGCUUGUUAGUGGGGUAGUGGCUUACCAAGGCUUUCACGGGUAGCCGGCCUGAGAGGGUGACCGGCCACAUUGGGACUGAGAGACGGCCCAGACUCCUACGGGAGGCAGCAGUGGGGAAUAUUGCACAAUGGGCGGAAGCCUGAUGCAGCAACGCCGCGUGCGGGAUGACGGCCUUCGGGUUGUAAACCGCUUUCGCCUGUGACGAAGCGUGAGUGACGGUAAUGGGUAAAGAAGCACCGGCUAACUACGUG
Molecule: ribosomal RNA, 468 nt
Filed under: uncultured bacterium
Lineage: Bacteria
Description: partial 16S ribosomal RNA
Rfam family: Bacterial small subunit ribosomal RNA
Source: RNAcentral